CGACCUGCCUCGCUCACUCAGGAAACCUUGCAGAAGACAAGAGAGUUGGAAAUUUGUCAUUACUGAGGUAGCCCUGAAUCUACAGUACUUUGUCAAAGUAAUACUUUUUAAAAAAAAAAAUGUUCACAACUUGGAGUACCUCAUUAAUAACGAUCAAUUCCUUGGGUCAUAUCUCUCCACUGACCACAACACACUUGGGUAACCAUGGGCGUAAGACCCUUGAGAACUGUAUGAAGUGACACCCACCACCAGACCAAAGUCCCCCAGUUGAUUCUACAUGCCAGCCAACACUGAAGAUUUUAUGUAUAAAAACAAACGGUGGGGAGUUCCCGUCAUGGCGCAGUGGUUAACGAAUCCGACUAGGAACCAUGAGGUUGCGGGUUCGGUCCCUGCCCUUGCUCAGUGGGUUAACGAUCCGGCGUUGCUGUGAGCUGUGGUGUAGGUUGCAGACGCGGCUCGGAUCCCGCGUUGCUGUGGCUCUGGCGUAGGCCGGUGGCUACAGCUCCGAUUCAACCCCUAGCCUGGGAAUCUCCAUAUGCCAUGGGAGAGGCCCAAGAAAUACCAACAACAACAACAACAACACACACACACAAAAAAAAAAACGAAUGGUGGGAGUUCUUGGCUCAGUGGUAAUGAAUCCAACUAGUAUCAGUGAGGAUGUGGGUUCAAUCCCUGAUCUCACUCAGGGGGUUGAGGAUCUGGCAAUGCACUGAGCUGUGGUGUAGGUCACAGAUGCAGCUCGGACUGGAGUUACUGUGGCUCUGGUGGAAGCCAGCAGCUGUAGCUCUGAUUCGACCCCUAGCCUGGGAAUUUCCAUGUGCUGCAGGUGUAGCCCUAAAAAGACAAAAAAAAAAAGCUAACAGUCAUCAAUUUCUAUUUAACCAGAAGUUUGGGCAUCAAAUAAAAAUCAGCCUGAUGAUAUUUUACUGCUCCUGCUCCUUUGAAAUUCUUGCAAAGUACUCAAAGCUUAGAUCUAUGUGGUAAUAACUUAAAACAAUGGUGUAUCUUUUAAAUAAGUAAACUUUUUUUUUUUUGGCCACACCUGCAGUAGGUGGAAGUUCCUGCACCAGCAAUCAAACCUGCACCACAGCAGCAAAAACAGCAGAUCCUUAACCCACUAUAGCUGGGAUUUGAACCCAAGCAAAUCUGACCCAGAGCUCGUAAGCUUAACCUUUACACGACACAAGAAACUUGAAAAAUCCUACAGUCUAGAAGGAGACUGAAGCAGUGGUUUACACAAGAGCUGGUUCUCAAAUUGUUAUGUGAGCUUCUCAUCUCUGCUCUAUGUUGUCAGUGAGCAAUGAAAGAAAAGAAAAAGAAAUAAAGAACAAAGGUGAGGAACUAGAGCGAAGGGUAUGGCUAAGCUACUUUCUCUGCAAAAGGCCACAAAGCAUCAAGAACUCAGAUUAAUUCAUCCAAAGGUUAAAAGAGGGAUUUUUCCUUUUGAGACGAUAAAGAUGAAAUAUGUUGACUUGUCUGGAGGCUAAAGAAUAAUUAGAAAGAUUCCUCAGCAGAUAACUGAUGAAUCCAGGGGGUGCUGGCUGCCUGGUGGACUCAAUGCAGGACUGGGGAACCUCUUGGUGGGCCAGCCUUGAGCAGGACACAGAGACCUGAGGCUCACCCACUGGGACAGUCAUCAGCCUUGGAUAACCAUAGCAAUAACACUGCUGACAAAAAUCCAGGGAGUUCUUUAGAAUUACAAACCCUCCUAGCCAUCACAGAACUGGAUUACAACCAACCUGUGAAGUACAAAUUAUCCUCUGGUUUACAGAUGAAGAAAGUGAGAUGCAGAGAGGCUAAGUGCUGUACUCGCACAGGUGAGACUCAACUUUCUGACGUCAAAGUACCUCCCUCUUAUCACAUCCCUUGGUGUAGAUGUUACUCAAUCGCUAGAUGGGCAGUAGAAACUCAGUGUGGGUGGGCAGCCUGCGACUGGGGCUCACACCCCAGCUCAAAUAUUUCCUGGCCGCUGGAUGACCCUUGGGGCAAGUUUCUUAAGUGCCUGUUUUCCAGGCUGAAAUUGAAUGAGUUAAUGUAUAUCAAGAGUAAAUCCAUGUGGCUGUAAUAGUAAGUAUUCAUCAGGUAUUAGUUUUUUAUUAGUUAUUAUUCACUUAUUUAACAAACUUUGCUCAGAUAGGUAUUCUGCUACAGGUCUGUGGGCUUAGUCCAGACAAUACGACAAUCCUGCCCAAAGGUGACUCACAGUCCUUGGAUGACCAACACAAAGAGAGGUAUAUAAAGCAAGGAGGAGGAAAACAACACUGACACAUUAUGGAAUAAAACAGGCACAUACAGGGACAUUUAUCCAGAGCAGCCUGUGAAGCAAAAUCUUUAAAUUCCAAGAACGAUGCCACAAACUGAUAUAUGGUUUCAAAUUAAAAAUCAGCAUAUGGAUACUUCAUAAAAACAAAAUAUUUAGAAUUGAGGACCCUUAGUUCAAAUCUCAAUUCCAUAACCUACCAACUUUGUGAUUUUCAUCAUCUUACUUUUCAGGGCAUCUAUCUACUCACCUCUAAAAGUGAGAUUAAAUAAUCAUACACCUCACAUGCUUGUUAAGCAGAUGAAAUGAUGUAGGUGAAAGUGCUCUGGAAAUUUUCAAACGUCAUUGUAAGUAUUACUAAUCACAGUGGAGGGGGAGGAUCAAGAGUAGAGGAAAAGAGGGCAAACAACACCCAAGCAUUUGCUGAGGUGCCUGAGCAGCCACAACAAGCAGGGGUUCUGUCCUGCUCCUGUAGUCCACAUGUGUGCAAGGGUGGUGAAUCUCCUUGAAAAGCACAGACAGGGAUGGAGCCCCAAUUUUAAAUACACACAGCUAGUUUCCUCCGGCAGUCAGCUUCUGUCUUAUUCUCAGGCCCUGUGGACAAUUCUGUGAUUUGGGCAUCUUCCCUUGGGGAAACCACGCUGCCCGCCUCUGCUGGUUUGCACCUGGAAGCCACCACCUGUCUCCACCCUGGGGGCUUUGUGUCCCCUGGAGCUCACUCUCUAGUUGCAGAGAAGGCCACUACCAGACACAGGACAUGGGUGGAGAGUCCAUCCCAAACCAUCUGCAGAAAUGUUUUUCUUCACCAUGACCCCCCUGGAGGCCUGCCAAGCAACACUGAUUUGGGCCCCAAGAGGAGAGCUCUGAGUGUGCCAAGUGGACAAAGACAGUGAAGGUAUGUGCAGUGGGCAGUGCCUGGGGAGCGACGUGGCAUCAUAAAAGAGCCUGGGGACUGAGAGAAUGAUGAGCAGAGCAUGGAGUACAGAGGAGAUGAAGGGGUGGCAAGUGAAGGCCAUGCCUGUCAGGCUUGGGAACUUUAUACCCAUAAGGGAAUAAAGCAGAGGAGGGACAUAAUCUUUCUGAAGAGGUCACCCUGGCCACAGAGUCACAGAGAACAGACUAGAAGUUGGAGCACCUAGUGGCAGAGAGGCCAGGUACCUAAAAGGGAUGGCACAGAUGAGGCCAUGAGGGCGUGGACUCCAUUCCAGUGAGUACCCAUCAUGGCUCAGUGGUUAACGAACCCAACCAGCAUCCAUGAGGAUGCGGAUUCAAUCCCUGGCCUCACUCAGUGGGUUAAGGAUUUGGUGUUGCUGUGAGCUGUGCUGUAGGUUGCAGACUCGACUCAGAUCCCACAUUGCUGUGGCUGUGGUGUAGGCUAGCAGCUACAGCUCCAACUGGACCCGUAGCCUGGGAACCUCUAUAUGCUGCUGGUGUGGCCCUAAAAGACAAAAAGACAAAAUAAAUAAAUUAAUUAAAUUAAAUUGAAAAAGGCAAAAUCAGGGAGUUCCCACCGUGGCUCAGAACUAACAAACCUGACUAGUAUCCAUGAGGAUGCAGGUUCAAUCCCUGGCUUCCUUCAGUGGGUUAAGGAGCCAGUGUUGCUGUGAACUGUAGUGUGUGUCGCAGAUGCGGCUGGAAUCUGGGGUUGCUGUGGCUGUGGUAUAUAUAGGCCAGUGGCUACAGCUCCAAUUGGACCCCUAGCCUGGGAACUUCCAUAUGCUGCACCUGUGGCACUAAAGAGACAUUAAGAAAAAAAAAAAAGGUGGAGUUCCCGUCAUGGCGCAGUGGUUAACGAAUCCGACUAGGAACCAUGAGGUUGCGGGUUCGGUCCCUGCCCUUGCUCAGUGGGUUAACGAUCCGGCGUUGCCGUGAGCUGUAGUGUAGGUUGCAGACGCGGCUCGGAUCCUGCGUUGCUGUGGCUCUGGGGUAGGCCGGUGGCUACAGCUCCGCUUGGACCCCUAGCCUGGGAACCUCCAUAUGCCGAGGGAGCGGCCCAAAAAAAAGCAACAA
This 4270-nucleotide long non-coding RNA is filed under the name Sus scrofa (pig). RNAcentral describes it as "lncRNA (ENSSSCG00015054889.1)". Lineage: Eukaryota; Metazoa; Chordata; Mammalia; Artiodactyla; Suidae. The record is from RNAcentral.